UGUUAAAAAUUUCGUCCAUUUGUACUGUUAAAAACUGGUAUAGUUGAUGGAAUAACCAGACAGUGGCAAGUGGCAUGCCACGUGUACCUCAUACUGUUGUACAAGGACAGUUUUUAAUAAUAGAAAUGGAUGAAAAUUUUAAUA
Non-coding RNA from Gossypium arboreum, 144 nucleotides. The record is from Rfam. Lineage: Eukaryota; Viridiplantae; Streptophyta; Magnoliopsida; Malvales; Malvaceae.